CCCCAAUUCCCAAACAUUUUCCAUUCCGUCAAAAUCAAUUCACAAAAGUCCCAAAAAUAAAAAAUCAAAAUCCUUAUCUUCACUACGCCGGUUUGUCCCUGACUCCCUGCCCGGCUGGAGGGUUUCUCCCCUUGCUGAGAAAUCAUAUCACUAGCUUUGAUUAUUGGGGGAAGCCGGGAAGAUAAGGGUGUGUUUGGCUGACACUCGUACACCAUUGAACUAGAAUACAAACAGGUAAAUUAUAUAUUGUGUAUAAUUAUACAAUGUGCUUUUCAUUUAUGUUAUAGUUUUUUGCUUUUCAGUUUUCGCAUGCAUUGUUACACACAUCUGAGACUGAAUUUGAAUGUGGGAUGCAUGUGCUUGAAAAUAGUUUGGAGGCUUUGGUUUUUGUUUUUCAAUUGAAUAAAAUAAUGAGAUAGUUUCUCACUUUCUCCAUAUUCUGCGUGAUUUAACAAGCUUUCAAUAAGUUAAUCUCCUUCCACUGCUGCAUCACGUACCUUUGGUUUCUAUUUUGAAUAUGGUCAAGACUCAAGAAGGGCCCCUUUGUUGGGCUCUGACAAUUUUGGGGGGAAAAUUGGAAAAAAUGACGAGUUCAGAAAAUUUGAGCAAGAAAUUUAGUAGAUGUUUAUUCAAAUAGAUUAUAUUUUGUUGGAGGAAUCAAAUUGUAAUUGUAAUAGAUUAAAAUUAGAGCUGUCUGGUUAUCAACUUUCAUGCUUAUUUUUCCUGUAUUGUGGUGAUAUAUUAUUGGAUUGUCAAUCACGGUAUGCCGGCUAAAGCAAAGCAUCCUUCAUUUCCAUGGGAAUAGGGCUGCUUGUGGAAUCGAUUAUAUAAAUAUAAUGUUUCAAUAUCUAUUCUGGUUUAUAAUAGUUUUUGUUAGGGGUAAGAGGGGGUGAGGAUGAUGACGAGUUACUUAUGGAAUUUAGGUUAAAUUCUGAAGUGUAUCUGGAAUUUAGGGUGAUGACAAGUUAGAUUUGGCUAAUUCUAAAGUGUAUCUGGAAUUUAGGUCAUGUAAGGUUAAAUUUUAGUCAUUUAUUACCUAGAGGGGGGUUGAAUACAUUGUUUACACAAUCUUGACCAUUUUUUCAAAUUUCUAACUUUUUUCUCUAUUGUCAACAUUAUUGUAGGCACGUAGCUGGAAGUAGACCCUAAUUGAAUGCAUGCAGAACCGUGAAAACUUAAUCAUAUAACUGAAUUUGUUUUGUUGUUGCUAAACUCCCUUAAAAAUAUUUUUCAAGUUAAGAACAAAUGAACACAACAAGAAGAACAUUGGCAAUAUUCUGUGUAAGCUCAUGUGCCUAGCGAUCUGAGCAACUUUCCUCAAACUAAUAUUGAAGCAUAAGAAGAGGGGAGAAGAAGAAAAUACCUAAUAGAUUUUUCUUGUGGAUUUUGUCUAUGUCUUGUGAUGUGUGUUUUCUAAGUCUGUCCUCCUUCAAUUCAUAGAGUAAAGAAAAUGUAUAUGAGGUGAGUUUGGACUCUACUUAGAAUGCUGACUCUUCCAUUUGUCCUAAAUUGUCUCAGAAGUAUGUAACUCCUACAGAUUUCUUUGCUGCCGCCUACCCGUCAGUCUGUCUCCAAUUGAGGUAAAUAUGCUUGUUUUUUAAAUGAUUCCAAAUGCAGUUUUAUGUGUUUUAAAUGAUUCCAAAUUGGUUUUAUGGUUAUGGUUUUAUCAAUUUAUAUUUAUGCCUUUAUGGGAUAUUGAAGCAUUUUGAUUUUUAUGCUUUUAGAUUUAAUGUGGAAGAAGAUCGACCUUCUACCAAAAAAGGUAGAACUUUAUUGUCUUUCUUUUCAAAAAGUAACAAAUCUCAGGAUUCUCCAAUUCCUACGGUGCCCAUUCUUCCAAUUUCAUGCCCUGAAGUUGAACGGCCUUCAUCUUCCAAUCUUAAUUUUGAACCUUCAUCUUCCAAUCUUAAUUUUGAACCAUCUGAUUUCAUUGAACGGGACCCUGGAAAAAGAAAGCAAAUAUGUAAACAUCCAUUUAAUGAGCGUGAUCAGAUUAGGCGGGCUUAUCUAAAUGUUGGACUUUAUCAAACAAAACUUUUGGAGUAUCAGAGCAAAGAAUGUGGAAAGCAGAAACAUUGAUUUCAAGAACGUUGGUAUAAUUAGUUUCAUUGGUUGGAAUAUUCGCCUUCAACACAUAAGGCAUAUUGUUUUUACUGCUUCCUUUUUCUCAAUAAUAGUACUCUACCUAAUAUUUUAUCAUUGGUUACUGUUGGAUUUGAUAGUUGGAAGAGGGUUAACCAAGGAAGUAAAUGUGCAUUUCUUAUUCAUGUUGGUACAACAUCGUCAUCGUUUCAUAAUGGCUGUAAGAGAAGAGCUGAAGAUUUAAUGAAACCAACUCAACAUAUUGACAAGGUAAUGCAUUCUGUAUCAAAUGAGGAAAAAUAGAAAAAUCAUUUGCGCCUAAAGACCUCUAUUAUGAGUGUCAAGUGGUUAGCUCUUCAAGGUUGUUCCUUUAGAGGCCAUGACGAAUCUCCAUCUUCACUGAAUCGUGGGAAUUUUAUUGAAUUGGUGGAUGCAUUUGCAAAUAUGCAUAUUGAAGUAGGAAAAGUUGUGUUGAGUAAUGCUCCCAAAAAUGCUACAUACACGUCUCCAGACAUUCAAAAAGAAAUUUUGAGCAUUAUGGCCAAUAGAGUACGACAAGGAAUUCGUACAGAAAUUGGGGAUGCAAAGUUUAGUAUUCUUGUUGAUGAAGCACGAGAUGAAUCUUCAUGAGAACAAAUGGCUAUUAUCCUGAGGUUUGUGAACAGUAAUGGAAUUUUGACAGAACGUUUUUUUGCAAUUAAAAGUGUUAGUGACACUACCUCAUUAAAUCUUAAGAAUCAGAUUUCUGAUGUUCUUGUUCGUUUCAACCUUCAAGUGCAAAACAUGAGAGGCCAAGGAUACGAUGGUGCUAAUAAUAUGCGUGGUUCUUGGAAUGGACUACAGGCAUUAUUUCUUAAAGAUUGUCCAUAUGCAUACUAUGUUCAUUGUUUUGCCCAUCGUUUACAACUCACAUUGGUUUCUGCAGCUAAGGAUGUCUCAGAUAUUAAUUCAUUUUUUUCUCAUUUAGACACUGUUAUUAAUAUGAUUACAUCAUCUCCUAAGCGCAUCAAUGAGUUGAAAAGUGCCCAAAUAAAAGAAAUUGAGCAUUCGUUAGAAAUUGGAGAACGAGAGUCCGGAAGUGGUGCUAAUCAGAUUGGUAAUUUGCAACGAGCCGAAAAUACUCGUUGGUCUUCUCAUUACAGCUCUGUAAAGAGUUUGAUUGAUAUGUAUGCUGCAACUUGCAAGGUGUUUGAGUAUCUUAGUGAUCAUUCUCCAAGUACAAGAUCUCGGUCCGAAGUUGGUGGUGUAUACAAAACCAUAACAACAUUUGAAUUUGUAUUUAUCUUGCAUUUAAUGCGUAGAAUAUUAGCAAUUGCGGAUGUUCUUUGUCAGUCCCUUCAAAAGAAAACUCAAGACAUUUUAACUGUUAUGAGAUUUGUCCGUACUACAAAAACUAUCCUUCAAGCAUUGAGAGAAGAUGGCUAGAAAGAAUUUUUUGAAGAGGUGAAAUGUUUUUGCUCAAAAAAUGAUAUACAUGUACCUGACUUUGAUGGUUCGUAUAUGGUUGAUCGUUCUCGUGGUCAUGAGUAUCCUACCAUUGAACAUCAUUACCACUUUGAUAUUUUCAAUGCAGCCAUUGGAUUUCAGAUGAUGGAGUUAGAUACAAGAUUUAAUGAGACAUCAAUAGAGCUCAUUUCUCUCAGUACAGCUUUGGAUCCAAAAAAUUCUUUUGAAUCAUUUAAGAUAUAUAAUAUUUGCAAGUUUGCGGAAAAGUUUUAUCCUGAAUAUUUUAAACAGCAAGAUAUUUAUUGUUUGAAAGUUGAGUUGCAACACUAUCAGAAUGAUGUGAUUUCUGAACCUCGAUUUCAAGUACUUACACUUUCUGAUUUAUGUCGGGAAUUGGUUGCAAGUAGAAGGUCGGAGAGUUACGUCAUUUUGACUAAAUUGAUUUGUUUAGUAUUGACACUAUCUGUUUCAACGGCGACUGUGGAGCGAGCUUUUUCAGCAAUGAAACAUGUGAAGACGGAAAUUCGUAACAAAAUGGAUGAUGGUUUUCUUGCUGAUUGUUUAACACUAAACAUUGAACGAGAAUUUAGUAUGAAUUUAGAUCUAAAUUCUAUUAUAGAUGAAUUUUAUGCUGUAAAACAUCGCCGAGUAUAACUUCAAUAGGUAACUUAUAUAAUAAAUUUUUCUUAUUAUAUAUAAAUUUUAUUCGUACAUUAAAUUUUUUAAAUUUUUAGCCCAUCGUAAUUCCUGGCUCCACCCCUGCAUGAGAUAGUGUUCAAAUUCCAUCACAUUUCAAGAGAAACGGGUUUUCGAAUGGCCCUCGCAAUGGCUCCAUUCCUUGUCUAACGGUGUGUAUCACGCACCCCAUAUGAAUCACCAAUGUGGCCUUUGGCUGGGAAGAAAUUCCAAAGCCAAUGGGAACAUAUAUUUCCAAGAUAGCAUACGACUAACAUUGUACCAUACAAUUUUUUGUUGAUGAAAGCAUGAAGCUUAGGCCAUGGAUAGCCACUGGUCGUUUUCUCCUGAGGAAGUGGGCAUGCCAUCGUAACGAGUGUACUUUACUCACGACUUUAACUCAAUUUUAACUUGACUGUAAGCUAGAUUUUGCGAGUAUUGAACGGUUUUAAUAUAUUUGUUAAUGUUGUUUUAUAGGAUUGUUGAAAGAGACGAAAAAGUUCAUCAAAUAAAGUUAUUGGCAUGGAUCGAAAAAAAAUCGUGGAUAAAAGGACAAAAGAUGCAAAGUAAAAUGAAUGGACAAGCGGCUCACCGGCCCGAAAUAGUGGCGCCAAGGCGUCAUGAAAGGAAGAUAGUUAGAGUUGAGAGACCAAGGAAAACCAGAGAGGGGGCGCAUUUUUGGCUCAUUUGAAAUUCAUGAAAAAAACCCUAUUCUCUAGACCAUACAAGAAUGCACCUAUAAAUAUAAUUUUCUCACACUUUUGGGGGAUUUCACAGAUUGAGAAGCAAAAAACACACUUUGAGAUUUAAGAGAAGUAAUUCAAGGGAGGAAAACAACAAACAAUUCAACGUUUGGAGUAUUAAUUGGAAGAUGAAGAAGAUCUUGAUGCAAGAUUGAUAUUUUUUUUUCUACAUCUUUACUACAAAUUCGAUAAUGCACUCAAUGACUAUUUAUUAUUUUUUCUCUUUCAUUAUGAGUAGUUAAAUAUCUUGUUAGGGCGAAUAAUGUAAUCCAAUUGGGACCCUUUAUGUCUUUUAAUUAAAA
RNAcentral lists this long non-coding RNA (5248 nucleotides) under Olea europaea subsp. europaea. The record is from RNAcentral. Lineage: Eukaryota; Viridiplantae; Streptophyta; Magnoliopsida; Lamiales; Oleaceae.